CGUACCUACGGGAGGCAGCAGUGGGGGAUAUUGCACAAUGGGGGGAACCCUGAUGCAGCGACGCCGCGUGGGCGAUGGAGUGCUUCGGCAUGUAAAGCCCUAUCAGCAGGGAAGAAAAUGACGGUACCUGACUAAGAAGCCCCGGCUAAAUACGUGCCAGCAGCCGCGGUAAUACGUAGGGGGCAAGCGUUAUCCGGAUUUACUGGGUGUAAAGGGAGCGUAGCCGGCAAUACAAGUCGGA
This 241-nucleotide ribosomal RNA is filed under the name uncultured bacterium. Its description in RNAcentral is "partial 16S ribosomal RNA". It matches the Rfam family "Bacterial small subunit ribosomal RNA", at positions 334 to 592 of the family's 1533-position model. The record is from RNAcentral.